CUACGGGAGGCUGCAGUGAGGAAUAUUGGACAAUGGGCGAAAGCCUGAUCCAGCCAUGCCGCGUGCAGGAAGACGGCCCUAUGGGUUGUAAACUGCUUUUGUACGGGAAGAAACACCCCCAUGUGUGGGGGCUUGACGGUACCGUAAGAAUAAGCAUCGGCUAACUCCGUGCCAGCAGCCGCGGUAAUACGGAGGAUGCAAGCGUUAUCCGGAAUCAUUGGGUUUAAAGGGUCCGUAGGCGGACAAUUAAGUCAGAGGUGAAAUUCUGCGGCUCAACCGUAGAACUGCCUUUGAAACUGGUUGUCUUGAAUCGUUGUGAAGUGGUUAGAAUGAGCAGUGUAGCGGUGAAAUGCUUAGAGAUUGCUCAGAAUACCGAUUGCGAAGGCAGAUCACUAACAAUGUAUUGACGCUGAGGGACGAAAGCGUGGGGAGCGAACAGGAUUAGAUACCCGGGUAGUC
RNAcentral lists this ribosomal RNA (459 nucleotides) under uncultured bacterium. RNAcentral describes it as "partial 16S ribosomal RNA". It matches the Rfam family "Bacterial small subunit ribosomal RNA", at positions 339 to 795 of the family's 1533-position model. The record is from RNAcentral.